GACGAACGCUGGCGGCGUGCCUAAUACAUGCAAGUAGAACGCUGAAGGAGGAGCUUGCUCUUCUGGAUGAGUUGCGAACGGGUGAGUAACGCGUAGGUAACCUGCCUGGUAGCGGGGGAUAACCAUUGGAAACGAUAGCUAAUACCGCAUAAGAGUAGAUGUUGCAUGACAUUUGCUUAAAAGGUGCAAUUGCAUCACUACCAGAUGGACCUGCGUUGUAUUAGCUAGUUGGUGGGGUAACGGCUCACCAAGGCGACGAUACAUAGCCGACCUGAGAGGGUGAUCGGCCACACUGGGACUGAGACACGGCCCAGACUCCUACGGGAGGCAGCAGUAGGGAAUCUUCGGCAAUGGACGGAAGUCUGACCGAGCAACGCCGCGUGAGUGAAGAAGGUUUUCGGAUCGUAAAGCUCUGUUGUAAGAGAAGAACGAGUGUGAGAGUGGAAAGUUCACACUGUGACGGUAUCUUACCAGAAAGGGACGGCUAACUACGUG
RNAcentral lists this ribosomal RNA (495 nucleotides) under uncultured bacterium. RNAcentral describes it as "partial 16S ribosomal RNA". It matches the Rfam family "Bacterial small subunit ribosomal RNA", at positions 28 to 507 of the family's 1533-position model. The record is from RNAcentral.